Oryctolagus cuniculus (rabbit) is the source of this 540-nucleotide non-coding RNA. NCBI's taxonomy places the organism in Eukaryota, Metazoa, Chordata, Mammalia, Lagomorpha, Leporidae. The record is from RefSeq and is a predicted model, not a curated record.
GAGGCUGGCGCUCACAGGACCCUGGAAAGUUAGUCUGAGAUGAGCGCCCGCGAGGUGUUCUGGAAGACGUGGCCCUCUGACGAACAAUGAGCGCGGGGACCUCUGGGAGAUGGAGUCUGAAGCGGGAGACCACCGUGCAUUCUGGGAGACGCGGUCCUCUGAUAUUUUUUUUGAGAGGCAGCAAGACUGAUAGACAGAACUCUCAUGCACUGGUUCAUGCACCAAGCACCUGCAACAGACAGGCUUCGGCCAGGCCAAAGCCAGGAGCUGGAAGUUCAAUCCAGGUCUCCCACACCCAAGUAUUGGAUCCCUUCUGAGAGUCUGCAUUAGCUGGAAGCUGGAAUUAGGAGCAGAGACAAGACUUCAACCCAGGCACUCUGGAAAUCAGCUACAUUUGUUGCUGUGGAUUCAUUCUGAGAGGAGGAGCAUGGUGGGGGCAAGAGGCGUGGAGUCACCACACAGACCCCGGGAGUCAGGUGAAAGCAGGCCAGAGGCGAGCAGCCCACAGACUCAUCUAUUUCAGUUGCAACAGCAGCUUAA